This 440-nucleotide ribosomal RNA is filed under the name uncultured bacterium. Its description in RNAcentral is "partial 16S ribosomal RNA". It matches the Rfam family "Bacterial small subunit ribosomal RNA", at positions 339 to 795 of the family's 1533-position model. The record is from RNAcentral.
CUACGGGAGGCACCAGUGAGGAAUAUUGCACAAUGGGGGGGAACCCUGAUGCAGCAACGCCGCGUGGAGGAUGACGCAUUUCGGUGUGUAAACUCCUUUUAUAUGUCAAGAAAAUGACGGUAGCAUAUGAAUAAGCACCGGCUAACUCCGUGCCAGCAGCCGCGGUAAUACGGAGGGUGCAAGCGUUACUCGGAAUCACUGGGCGUAAAGGACGCGUAGGCGGGUUGGAAAGUCAGGUGUGAAAUCCUACAGCUUAGCUGUAGAACUGCACUUGAAACUUCUAAUCUAGAGUAUGGGAGGGGGAGAUGGAAUUAGUGGUGUAGGGGUAAAAUCCGUAGAUAUCACUAGGAAUACCUAAAGCGAAGGCGAUCUCCUGGAACAUUACUGACGCUAAGGCGUGAAAGCGUGGGGAGCAAACAGGAUUAGAUACCCGUGUAGUC